Molecule: long non-coding RNA, 344 nt
Organism: Carassius auratus (goldfish)
Lineage: Eukaryota; Metazoa; Chordata; Actinopteri; Cypriniformes; Cyprinidae
Exons: 3
Source: RefSeq, a predicted model, not a curated record
CCCGGCCCAAAGCACACCCUCUGUCAGUGAUGUGUCAUGUCCUGCAAAGAGACCUAAACUGACAUUGUCAAUGUUUGAAAAGUCAAGGUUUGGAGGCUCACAUGUGGCAGCAGCAAAACCUAAUUUGAGCACCCAGAGGAAAACCUCUCAGAUGUUAGAGCACUCCAGUUCAGCUACAGUUUCAUGUCCACCCUCUGAUCCUCAUCCUCCUCCAUCCCCCAAACCUCAUCAGCCCGUCAUCCAGUCCUCCUCUUCCUUCUUCCUUCCUCCACCUCAGAGUUCACAACGCAUCAAAAAAACAGCAACGCCAUCAACUGUUUCUGAGAAUACUGUUGUGAGGAGCC